RNAcentral lists this ribosomal RNA (2577 nucleotides) under Triticum aestivum (bread wheat). RNAcentral describes it as "partial small subunit ribosomal RNA". The record is from RNAcentral. Lineage: Eukaryota; Viridiplantae; Streptophyta; Magnoliopsida; Poales; Poaceae.
CCCUCGACUUCUUUCUUUCCAUCCGUCACCCCUCUCUCUGUCUCACUGGUUUUCUCCACUCCCCCAACCUUCAUGUCAGCCCCCUUCUCCUUGACCAAAAAUCCAGCCCCUUUCCACUUCUGGAGGCGUCGGCGAUGGCAUUCAAGCAGGUCUUCUGCGCCCUGCGAGAGGUCUUCCCGCAGGUUGAUCUUCGAAUAUUGAAGGCUGUAGCCAGUCAGUAUUCCUCUGAUGUUGAUGCAGCUGUUGGAUUUGUUCUUUCCGAUGUCAUUCCAGCAGUAAGCGAACCUACUGAAACAGUUUUUACACUCCAAGAUGUUGAUUAUGCAGAACACGACCAUACUGAUUCCAGGAAAUCUAACUUGCACUCUGGAGGGAUAUCAUUGGUGGAUCUAGGAGCUCGAGAGGAUACCAGUGCCCUAUUUGGUACGUCAGCUGAGAGCAGUGGCACUGUUGGUGAAUGUGAUCCGUUUUCAGAUUAUGAUGGACCAUUCCAGAGUAAGAACAAAAUAGAAAAAUGUUCCCAGAUCGAGGAUAAAGUGGUGAUAAAUGAAACAAGAAUUCCUACAACAGUAAUGAACAGCCUUCUUCAGGAGCAUUAUGCUCUGCUUGGAUCGUCAUCGACAUCUGCAGCGGAGCCACAUAUGAUGGAGUAUGAGCAGUCUGAUUCAGGAGGAUGUAAUGAUCAUUGUGCAGCUGAAAAAGAUGAAGUGACUCCAGAGACUGAAAUAGGCAACCACAAACACUGUAAUGAUAAUUAUGAGCUAUCAGAUUUGCUUGCCUCUUCUGGGAAUAUGUUGCCAUUAUUUAAGGAGAGCCCUUCAGAUUGUGCAGUGAAACAUGGAGGGCAAGUGCCUCUGAAACUUUCUGAUGAGGUAAGUAAACAUGAUUUCGACAAGUCAGAAGAUAACUGUUACUUGGAAACCUUACUUGUGAAUUUUCACUCAAAGGAAGACAAACAGACAUCAAAGAAUUUGCCAAAUGCUCCAACUGUCCAUACGCUCUCCAACCCAAAGGAUAAUAAUGACUUACAAGUUCUGUUUGAAAACAAAGAUAAUGCUGGAGAAGAGUUGGGUGCACUCUGUACUGCAGAAAAUACCCCCGAGCUCCACAAGUCAGCAAAUGAUGGCAACUUCUACAAUUUAUUUGGCGAUCUAUGCACAGUUGACGAGACAACAAAAGUACCAUUGAAUUUUACUGAGGAGAAAAAUGAGCAGUCUUUUGUUAAGCUAGACAAUCAACACAAGCUAUUUGACUUAUUUGCCUCAUCCAAAAUCGUAGAUAAUUCAUUACAACCCUUUCAAGAAAAGGGUGGUUCCGAGACAGUUCAUAAUGAGGAGCUACCUUCAAUACAUCUCAAUUUCAAUAAUCGCCGAACUUUUACUAAUAAAAGUGAGGGAUUUCUUGAUAACUCCACUCAGUCAUUUCAUAUCACUGAAAUAAACAAGAAUAUUUCUGAUAUCACUAAAAGCAAGGAAUCAUUGAGCUGUUUGUAUGAAUCAACAAUCAUGAAAAUGAAAGAGGUUGAGCUUCAGGAGGAAAAGUCUCGACUAGCAAAACAAAAUGCUGACAAGGCACAUCAAAAUUUUCUUGCCAUGGCAGAGCACUUUAACCAGCUCAUUGAGAAUUCGAAAGAGUCAAAUGAUAAGCAAGCUCAAGUAUUGUGUGGAGAAAAUUGUUCGUUGGUGGCUCUAACUCAGGACCUUCAGUCUAAGCUUACCAAAUUGGCUGCUCAAAGAAAUGAAGCGCUUACAGCUGUUCAGGAGAUUAAAUUUCAACUAGAUGCACGUCUAGCAACUUCGAUGGAGGAAGAGGCUGCAGCAAUGGAGCAAAUUAUUCAAGAAGAUAAAUUAGCUCUAUUGUUACGUAAAGAGAAGGAAGCUACAAUGGGGAGCAUAAUGGAGGAGUCAAGAAAGCUCCAAAAGGAAGCCGAAGAGAACAUUUUGCUGAGAGAACAAUUGCUGGACCAGGGUCACAUCAUUGAUAUCAUGCAGGGAGAAAUAGCAAGCAUCCAGGCCCGUGUAAGCAAGCUUAAAUCAGCCUUGGUGACGACUAGCAGCUCAGCUAAUUCUUCCCACAAGAAUGACUGCAAGAGUGCGUCAGUUGACACAGACCGGCCCUUGGGGAGCAAUGAAAACAGAGAUGAUCUGCCUCAGAGGAACCAUGCUAAGGACCAUACGACGUCUUCGGAUGAUGACGAUGACGAAUGGGAGGUGCUGGAAGCAAAUUAAGCCUAGAGUGAUUCAGUUCACUGUUCAAAUAUGUCUUGGUCAAUAAGAGGACAUCAUUUUGGCUCAUCCAAAAUUUAUGUGCCAAGCAGCAGAAUGUACAGCCCCACUAGUGCACACGGCAGAUUCAUGCACCAAACUGCUACUGUCGGAAGACUGAACCUCCAAACAAUUCAGGUGUUUGGCUCUCGUGCUUUGUAAAUAUGCAGAUGUGCCGAUGGACAUAUAUCAGUGUUUACUGUUGUAAUUAAACUUGGUUGUAAUCUAUCUAUCAUGUAAAUAAACAUGAAGUUAUGUGCCUAUGUUUGUUCGUAGUCAAGUUUAUACAUAUAUAUUGGCAAAGAAUGUGAUU